GAAUUUUGAUUUUUCUGGAGUAGCUAUAAAACAGGUCUUCAAUAACAAAAAUGCAAAUAUUAUUUUGGUAAGUGUUGAGUCCCAACAGGAAACAAAGGACACUCUAUCUAUUUAUAAAGACACCCUUGGUAAAGGUCUGUGUAGUAUGUUGGAGAUAUUAAUGAAUACAGCAAGAACCCUGGUCUAGCAGCAGUAGGGAUGCCCUCUAAUCCUAUCCCAGGAGAAUGAAAAGUGGAUAUUCUACUGGUGUAGAAAAGGAGAAAGAAUUGUGUAGGGCAAGUUGCCUAGGAGAACACAGUAAUCCUGAGACAACCUACCAGAACAUGGGACCUAAAUGAAUAAAUGCGUAAACUCACUUAUUCUUCUCUCCAAUCUUCUCCCAGUAUCCCCACUGGCUCAUCCAAGGAGCAUUCGUAUGUGUCAUUGGCUUGUUAAUAGAAUCUGGGAGAUCAACCUUUUGGGGCAGAGAGCAAAGUGGAAAAGGCUGAGAGUACAUCUGGAAGAGCAUAUGGCUGGUAUCUGGUUCAGGAAUUCAAUACAUCUAGCUUUCCAGUUCCUCUGUGGAAUACUUCAUCAUCUGGCAUAUGACCUCAGACCAUCUCCCAGCUUGUGGAUAGUCAAUCAUGCCAGAAAUUGUACACUCUAUCACUUCUAUCAAAACCUUUGA
RNAcentral lists this long non-coding RNA (667 nucleotides) under Canis lupus familiaris (dog). RNAcentral describes it as "lncRNA (ENSCAFG00000054901.1)". Lineage: Eukaryota; Metazoa; Chordata; Mammalia; Carnivora; Canidae. The record is from RNAcentral.